UACCAUGGCCAAGUGCUAUUUAAUAAGACUGAACGGGUGUCCGUUGCAAGGGACUCCGAAGAGCUGUGGUAAGGGGUGAAAGGCCAAUCUAACCUGGAGAUAGCUGGUUUUCUGCGAAACCCGUUUUAGCGGGUAGUCCAUUUAUUAACUUAAUUUGUUACUAGACGGUACGGCACUGGAAGCCACGCUAUUUUAUAGCCUAAUUGGGGGGCUGUCAUGGCUCUAUCAAUGGCUUCUAACCCCGGAAAUGUAUAGUAUACAAUAAUGGACAAUCAGACGAUUCGUGAUAAGGCGAUUUGUCAAAAGGGAAACAGCCCAGAACAGGAGUGAAGGUCCCUAACAAACUACUGAGUGAACAUAAGGCAGUCCUUUCCAGUGUCUCUCCACAAAGUGGGCUUGGAAGCAGCCACCUUUUAGCGAUAGCGUAACAGCUCAGUGGUUUAAGUUCCCUAUAAAAAGGGUAAAUACCUGGUGAGGGCGCCAAAAAUGUAACGGGUCUAUAGUAGUUGUCUCUCUAUUUCAAUUCAGAAUAAGGAGGGAGUGGCAGUUAAUACAGGUGCAGAGCUCCUUUACUGCUUCACCGAAACCCUGUCCUAGUUGAAAAUUCUAGGGGUAGCAGAAUAUCCAGCAAAUGGAAGGAAGCUUGCUCAUUGAGUUAGUGGACAUAGCUGGACUAAGAAUGCUGACAUGAGUAGCCUAAAAGGAGGUAAAUUUCCUCUUCGCCGAAAGCAGAAGGGUUUCAUUUGUUAGGUCUAUACCUAUAUGAUUAAAGCAACGGCCUCUAAGACAAUUAAGAAAGGAAACUUUCAUGUGUCGAUGAGUAAUUCUUCUGUAGGGCAGUAACCUUCCUUAUUAAUUUAUCUUGUUUUCAGAGGUAUAUUUCAAAGAGUAAGGUUCAGGAAAGAGCCCUACGGAAAACUCCAAAUUUGGAAACUCUCCAUAUUUUUUUGGGGUUAAUACUAACCGUACCCUAAACCGACUCAGGUCUGCAAGUAGAGUAUACUAAGGCGUAGAGAUAAUCGUCUUGAAGGAACUCGGCAAAAUGACCCCGUAACUUAGGGAGAAGGGGUGCCACUAAUUUGUGGCGGCACAAAACAGGGGGGCGCGACUGUUUACUUAAAACACCGGACUCUGCUAACACUAAGGUGGAUGUAUAGAGUCUGAUACCUGCCCAAUGCUAGAUAAUCAACUAAGCCGUUU
This 1200-nucleotide ribosomal RNA is filed under the name Rhizophagus clarus. RNAcentral's name for it is "LSU rRNA". It matches the Rfam family "Bacterial large subunit ribosomal RNA", at positions 732 to 1891 of the family's 2925-position model. The record is from RNAcentral. Lineage: Eukaryota; Fungi; Glomeromycota; Glomeromycetes; Glomerales; Glomeraceae.